UACGGAGGGUGCAAGCGUUAUCCGGAUUCACUGGGUUUAAAGGGUGCGUAGGCGGGUAUAUAAGUCCGAGGUGAAAGCUCCGAGCUUAACUUGGAAACUGCCAUUGAUACUGUAUAUCUUGAAUGUCGUUGAGGUUAGCGGAAUGUUGCAUGUAGCGGUGAAAUGCUUAGAUAUGUUACAGAACACCAAUUGUGAAGACAGCUAACUAAGCGAUGAUUGACGCUGAGGCACGAAAGCGUGGGGAGCAAACAGG
RNAcentral lists this ribosomal RNA (253 nucleotides) under uncultured bacterium. Its description in RNAcentral is "partial 16S ribosomal RNA". It matches the Rfam family "Bacterial small subunit ribosomal RNA", at positions 524 to 776 of the family's 1533-position model. The record is from RNAcentral.